UGUACAGUUUAUCGCUUUUAUAAGUCAAAACUGUUAUUAAGAAUAACAAACUUCUAAAUACUUCCAGGUUUUCCUAUAUAUUCCUUUAGAUUGGUUAAUUGUUUUUCAGUUAGUUGAGGAACUUCAUUAUUUCAAUUUGUUCCCAAAAUGUAUAAAUUAACACUUGUUUGUGUUCUUCUAACUGUUGGACUCACAAUAAUUACAGCAAAUGGUUCCCCCCAAUGCCCAUCGAAACAAAUAAUUCCUGUUACAGAUGUAAAUUACUACACUUUCUGUGAUCCAAUGGACAAUAGUUUAUUUCUCUAUAUAUGUGAUUAUGGUUAUGGUUUUAUUCGCAAUGAAACAGUUUCUGGGUGUGUUCCAUUCGAGCAAUGGCCAGACCAAUGUAUUACCAAAGUUCCCACAGUCCCAAAAUGCACAGGAGUUAACUUAAAUCGCCCAUCUGCGGCAACUAAUCCAAAUGAAUAUUAUCUUUGUCCUGGAGAAGGUGCAGAUCCGUUGUUGCUAUCAUGCUCAGGAGGAACAGCUUUCUUAAAUGUUCCGGGGAUUAUUGGUUGUGUUGAUUUUUCGGUUUGGAGAUCGAGUAAAAAUUGUCCUCUAUAAAUUAAUAAUCUAUAAGAAAAAUACAUUUUGAAAUAUU
Eupeodes corollae is the source of this 640-nucleotide long non-coding RNA. RefSeq lists it as uncharacterized. The transcript is spliced from 2 exons. Lineage: Eukaryota; Metazoa; Arthropoda; Insecta; Diptera; Syrphidae. The record is from RefSeq and is a predicted model, not a curated record.